UUAAACCCAAAGAAUUUGGCGGUAUCUUAUUCCGUUCAGAGGAACCUACCCCGUAAUUGAUAAUACACGAUUAACUUUACUUAAUUUAUUUGNUUGUAUAUCUCCGUUAUCAGAAAAUCUUUUUAGAGUUUAAAUUUUCUUGAUUUAUGACUAUAAAAUAUUUCAGGUCAAGGUGCAGUUUAUAAUUAAGAGGAGGUGGGUUACAAUAAAUUUUUGUUUAUUACGGUUNUUUUAAUGAAAUAUUAUAAAUUAAGGUGGAUUUGAUAGUAAAUUAAUUUAUUUAAUUUAAUUGAUAUUGGCUCUAAGGUGUGUACACAUC
This 319-nucleotide ribosomal RNA is filed under the name Betiscoides meridionalis. RNAcentral describes it as "partial 12S ribosomal RNA". Lineage: Eukaryota; Metazoa; Arthropoda; Insecta; Orthoptera; Lentulidae. The record is from RNAcentral.